Molecule: long non-coding RNA, 221 nt
Filed under: Phoenix dactylifera (date palm)
Lineage: Eukaryota; Viridiplantae; Streptophyta; Magnoliopsida; Arecales; Arecaceae
Description: long non-coding RNA (PDAC_LNC000221)
Source: RNAcentral
AGAGAGAGAGGCUCUUCAUUUCUGAGAGAGACUCUCCUCUCUCGGCAGGAGCCGCAGGACAUCUCCCAUCGGGGUUGGGGCGCGACUCGCGAGGGCGAAUCGGCGAAGAACGCUUCUCGCGCCGGCAGGUGGAAGUAGCUAUUCUUGGCCUCUUGGGUGAAGCCCCCGCCGGCUCCUCUUCCCGUAGGCCCCCGCCGGCGACUUCUUCUCCCAGUCCAUUG